Molecule: long non-coding RNA, 1406 nt
Filed under: Marmota monax (woodchuck)
Lineage: Eukaryota; Metazoa; Chordata; Mammalia; Rodentia; Sciuridae
Source: RNAcentral
GUUUGAUAAGGUGUAAAAUAACACAUUUUAACAGGAGAGUGAACACAUUUCCAGAUACUUGUGAGUUAGUGUUUUCUGAUUUUUCAAGUAAUAAUUUCCAAAAAGUGGGUUGUUAAUAGACCUUUUAACUUAUUAGUGUAUCUUGAGUCUCUGAAAUUGCUCUCAUUUAGUAUCCACAAAUGUAUCAAAUGUUUGACUCAAUUUAGCCAUCAUACCUAUCUGCAAAAAUAAAAAAAUUAAAAAUGCAUAUAAUUUUCUUCAAAAAACAAAACCAAAAUCCAGCAUUUUGUUUCAAGCUUAUUCUUGGCACAUUUCAUUGACACCCUGGGACUCUAGAUGAUGCACUCUGGAAACGAUGCAUUCCUACCCCAUAGCUUCAGCUAAAGAUUCUUGUGGCCCACUUGUGUGGAUUUACUUUUAAACAUGUCCAAUCCUGGCAUUUUAAAAUAAUAUUUUAGAAAUUCACCAGAAAAAGAAGGUAACCAUAUGAUUAUCAGAUAAAAAAUCCUAAUCAUGGAAUAUUUGUGUGGGUGGCUUGUAAAGGAAGACUGUGUAUGGUUUAUAGUUGAAGAUCUGCAGACAAGGACAGUGAUGGCCAAGGACAGAAAGUAGAGAGAUGUGCAGCUGCUCUCCCUGUGCUAUGCCCCCUCCUGUCUGCACUAGGAGUCAGUCUAGAUAGAGCUCAUGGGUGAGGCUGUGGUCUCCAUUUCCGGCAUUGGGAGCCACUCUAGAGUGUUUCCCGAGGCUCUCACUCUCUGACUUCUGCAGGAAGGAAUGCACUUGUCCCAGAGGGAGUGGGAAUGGACCUGACUCUUGAGAAUAGAACGUGAUUUUGAUAAUGAAGGCGGAGUGGGAGGGACAAAGAAGCAGGGAAGUAGACACAAGUGAGGGGUAAUUUUGGGAGAGGGAAUGGAGGGGAAGAACGGGCUCUCUUUCCUUACUCCUCCCUGUUUGGCAGUCUGGUUAUUUCUGCUUUCUCCCUUAGUUUCCUCUUUUCUCUGCCUGUUUGAUGACAUUGCCCUCUAAACUGGUUCUCUCCUUUCUCUUCCUCAUCUUGUAUGUCCUCCCUAACCCUUGUUUUUGCUAUCCCCUCCCCAGUCUUCCUUUAGCCAUCCCGCUGCUUUGCAGAGGCCUCCACCAGUGACUGCCACAUCACAGCCAUGACUGGUGCAGACUGCAGUAUCUGAGGUCAUUCGGUCUGUUUUAGAAUCAGCCUUUACUACCCAACAAGCUUAACCAGACUUUGCAAGUUCCCUUCAGUUCAGAAUGAACUCUGCCUUUGCUGGUCCAUCCUCAGAAUAGGGGAACAGUCCCUAGAUACAUGAACCACUGAGAGGGUGGGGGUCUCCAGAUCUGUGAGGAGGAGAGGGCCUCCAAUGUCCCUGCCAUUGUGAUGGGGAUUUUAU